This 185-nucleotide non-coding RNA is filed under the name Acidobacteriota bacterium. RNAcentral's name for it is "6S RNA". It matches the Rfam family "6S / SsrS RNA". Rfam says of the family: E. coli 6S RNA was the first non coding RNA to be sequenced, but its function was unknown until recently. It consists of 184 nucleotides that fold into an extended hairpin structure with a large single-stranded internal bulge. The record is from RNAcentral. Lineage: Bacteria; Pseudomonadati; Acidobacteriota. RNAcentral also lists the same sequence under 1 other name.
AUUUCCCUGCUUUGUCCGUGAUGGUUUCGGAGGUUCGGUUGAGCCAAUGUUACUUUGAGUGAAUUGCAACACCGUGUGGUGUGCACGCCUCUGAGUGAGGUAGCCUGAAACGCGGAUGGACCCAGCGAUUCCACCUGCUACACGCAGGUUCAUCCGACCUCCCCACACGGCAAAGCGGGGCUUUU